GUGCUCGCUUUGGCAGCACAUAUACUAAAAUUGGAACGAUACAGAGAAGAUUAGCAUGGCCCCUGUGCAAGGAUGACAUGCAGAUGAGUUAGGUUUUAUUUAGAUAU
Hyaena hyaena (striped hyena) is the source of this 107-nucleotide small nuclear RNA. The record is from RefSeq and is a predicted model, not a curated record. NCBI's taxonomy places the organism in Eukaryota, Metazoa, Chordata, Mammalia, Carnivora, Hyaenidae.